Molecule: long non-coding RNA, 455 nt
Organism: Neltuma alba
Lineage: Eukaryota; Viridiplantae; Streptophyta; Magnoliopsida; Fabales; Fabaceae
Exons: 2
Source: RefSeq, a predicted model, not a curated record
GCUUCUGCAUGAUAAUAAUCAUCGUGUUCUGUUUCACACGCUUUUAUGCUGGAGCCUUUGGGUACUAUGGAAUAUACUUGGAUUGAGGAGGACAGAGAGGAAGACAAGUUCUCAAUGAUUUGAUGAAGUUGAACUGCGCAGGAAAAUAUUGUGAAAAUGCUCGGUUGUUGAAGCUACAAAUUCUGGAAAGAUUUCUCUCUUUCCUUCGCGAGUUUAUGGUUAUGGAGGAACAAUUAUCUGUUGGUAACUUCUGUAGUUUGUUUUCAUAUCUAAUCUAUAAAAUCUUAUGUCUUGAAAAACUCUAGUUAUUGGAAUCUCUAGAGAUCCUUUCACAGCUUAUUAUGGCAACUUCAAAUGUCACAGAUUUUAUGUCUUCCUCUUCAUCAUACUCAGUCUCUGAUUCUGAAGUGUAAAGCAUUGAGCUUCAUGAUCUAUAACAAUUGCACUGAUCUCAA